RNAcentral lists this ribosomal RNA (451 nucleotides) under uncultured bacterium. RNAcentral describes it as "bacterial SSU rRNA". It matches the Rfam family "Bacterial small subunit ribosomal RNA", at positions 354 to 796 of the family's 1533-position model. The record is from RNAcentral.
GUGGGGAAUCUUCCGCAAUGGACGAAAGUCUGACGGAGCAACGCCGCGUGAGUGAAGAAGGUCUUCGGAUUGUAAAGCUCUGUCGUUUGGGACGAACGUAUCCUGUGUGAAUAAUGCAGGGUAAUGACGGUACCAAAGGAGGAAGCCACGGCUAACUACGUGCCAGCAGCCGCGGUAAUACGUAGGUGGCAAGCGUUGUCCGGAAUUAUUGGGCGUAAAGGGCGUGUAGGUGGGUAAUUAAGUCUUGUGUCUAAGUGCGGAGCUCAACUCCGUAUGGGCGCAGGAAACUGGAUACCUUGAGUGCAGGAGAGGAAAGUGGAAUUCCCAGUGUAGCGGUGAAAUGCGUAGAUAUUGGGAGGAACACCAGUGGCGAAGGCGACUUUCUGGACUGUGUCUGACACUGAGGCGCGAAAGCUAGGGGAGCGAACGGGAUUAGAUACCCUUGUAGUCC